UCUUCAUGCUAGGGGUGCCUGCGGUAACAGGCUGAGAUUACACCCUUAACACCUGAAUCCGGGUAAUACCGGCGGAGGGAAGCUGUAUAUCGAGGAA
This 97-nucleotide non-coding RNA is filed under the name Calothrix sp. Its description in RNAcentral is "TPP sequence". It matches the Rfam family "TPP riboswitch aptamer (THI element)". From Rfam's summary of the family: Vitamin B(1) in its active form thiamin pyrophosphate (TPP) is an essential coenzyme that is synthesised by coupling of pyrimidine and thiazole moieties in bacteria. The previously detected thiamin-regulatory element, thi box was extended, resulting in a new, highly conserved RNA secondary structure, the THI element, which is widely distributed in eubacteria and also occurs in some archaea. The record is from RNAcentral. Lineage: Bacteria; Bacillati; Cyanobacteriota; Cyanophyceae; Nostocales; Calotrichaceae. RNAcentral also lists the same sequence under 1 other name.